Molecule: long non-coding RNA, 754 nt
Filed under: Rattus norvegicus (Norway rat)
Lineage: Eukaryota; Metazoa; Chordata; Mammalia; Rodentia; Muridae
Description: long non-coding RNA NONRATT015939
Source: RNAcentral
ACUGAGCCAGAAACAGUGUGGAAACUCUGAAUCCGGCUGCAGACGGAAAUUUGCAAUUUAUCAGCAUUCAGGUGGUGAAUGAGUUUGUAGGAGGCGAAGAGAUUCCUUUUCCCCUAGGGCAGCAGUUUUUCAGUCAACAGUAAUGACUCCAGCGGCACCGCCGAGUUUGAGCUGCAGAAAUGGCGGUGAUGGGAGACAGAGACAAGCGAAAGUACCAGAAGGGAAAAUGAGGGUCUGACAUGGGCAUCUUUCCGCAGGAACAGAGAGAAAGUUCAGACAGAGUAAAUCUGCAAACCCAGAACUUGGUGACUCAGCUACCAACGGAAACCGAGACACAAUGAGAAGUUCUGGAGAAGCCCUUGGCGCUGUAAGUUACAAUGGAGGACAGAGCAACCGCAGAAAGAACUGAUGGACACAGACGAAGAGGAGCCCAGGUCCAGGUCGUUCCUCAUGGACCACUGGCUGUGGAAUGUGCAAAUAAACUUGUCACUAGGCAGACAAAACAGCAGUGUUACUCUAAGCUCUGCAGGAACUUACCAUCUCCUAUACAGAACUCUGUGGAGGGACACCCUAGCCUCAUUCACUUUGUUCAAGGAAAAGAGGCAGCAGCAGCUACCAGACAAACGAGAUCUGUGGACGGAUCUGAAUUCGGCUUUUCCUUACUGGCCAUUGACUUAAUUAUUUGACUUGGACAAACUAAUACCAGUAUAUAAAAUAUAAUUGUUUGACAGGCAAUAAAUAUUAAGGUAUUUUC